CUGCAUUUCUUCCCGUAAAGAGAGCGAUUUUUAUAUUAGCAAAUUUGUUCAGUCGAGGAAAAGCUUUUGCAGAUUCUCCAUGCUCUCCCCUCCAGCUAUUAAUACUCUGCCUGCGCACUCCUCCCCUCUUUUCUUCCCGGAAAGCUAAUAAAGAAAGAAGGGCCUUUUUCUUUCUCGCCCCAGAUAAAGAAAGCCCUUCUUCUUCUUCUUCUUCUGCUUCGGCUUUAUCACUUCACAUCAAAUGGAGGCCUCAAUGUGAAGCUUGCUGCACUUUCUCUCGCACCAGCUGUCUUCACAUUCUAGGAUAGGUCGUCAGCUUUUCUGGGUUCUCUUCACUUUUCAACCCACCCCUGUCUCUUCUUCUCGUGGGUGUUGCUGCUGUGGAGAGAUCUUGGGGAAGUCAAAAUGGAGGCGGCGUGAGGUCUUUUCCUUCCAGUGGGGUUGGUGUUCUGAUAAAACUAGAACUUGGGUUUCUCUUCUUUCUUCUUGCUCUGCCCCCGCUGUGCGUAUACACGGAUGGGGAGCGUUUCUUGGCUUUUGCUGGUGUUGGUCUCCAUGGGGAUGGUCGUGUGCACUUGGUGCCAGAAUAGUAGCUCGGAAGCAAUCACGGCUGUUUACAUUGUGACCCUUAAACAAGCCCCUGUCGUCCAUGACUAUGGUGUGCUGAAGAAGGAGACGAAUGUGUUCAGGCAUGGAGGUUCGGGGAAAUCCAACAGAAUGGACAAAGCAAGGCACAGGAACACUUCUCGUUCUGGUGGGAGCUCGGGUUCUUAUAUUGCUCGAGUUCAUGAUUCGUUAUUGAAGAAGGUACUGAAGGGAGAGAAAUAUCUGAAACUGUACAGCUAUCACUACUUAAUAAAUGGAUUUGCAGUACUUGUCACUCCCCAGCAGGCCGACAAACUUUCACAGAGGACAGAGGUGGCAAACGUAGUUUUGGAUUUUUCAGUUAGAACGGCAACAACUCAUACUCCACAAUUUCUUGGUCUACCAAAUGGAGCGUGGGCACAACGUGGUGGGUACGACUCAGCUGGAGAAGGAGUUGUGAUUGGUUUUAUUGAUACUGGCAUUGAUCCGACACACCCCAGCUUUGCCGAUGAUGUGUCUGACCGUCCAUAUCCAGUCCCUGCUCAUUACUCAGGGAUUUGUGAGGUCACCCCGGAUUUUCCAUCCGGAUCAUGCAAUAGGAAGCUUGUCGGGGCCCGGCAUUUUGCUGCAUCUGCCAUAACCAGAGGAAUUUUCAAUGCAUCUCAGGACUACGCAUCGCCAUUUGAUGGAGAUGGUCACGGGACGCACACAGCUUCAGUUGCAGCAGGAAACCAUGGGAUUCCAGUUAUUGUUUCUGGUCAUCACUUUGGGAAUGCAAGUGGAAUGGCUCCUCGUUCACACAUUGCUGUUUACAAGUCAUUAUAUAAGAGCUUUGGAGGCUUUGCCGCGGAUGUCGUUGCUGCAAUUGACCAGGCUGCUCAGGAUGGUGUUGACAUAAUAAGCUUAUCAAUCACUCCUAAUAGGCGUCCUCCUGGAAUUGCAACGUUCUUCAACCCCAUUGACAUGGCUUUAUUGUCAGCAGUAAAAGCUGGCAUUUUUGUUGUGCAAGCUGCCGGAAAUACUGGGCCUGCACCAAAAAGCGUAUCUUCCUUCAGUCCAUGGAUCUUCACUGUUGGUGCUGCUGCUCAUGACCGAGUGUACCAAAACUCCAUAGUUCUUGGAAACAACCGAUCAAUUGCUGGAGUUGGCCUUGCGCCGGGAAUCGAUAAAGAUACGAUGUACAAGCUAGUCUCAGCACUCGAUGCUCUGAACAAUGACACUUCAACUUCCAAAGACAUGUAUGUCGGUGAAUGUCAGGACUCUACAAACUUUGAUCCAGAUCAUGUCCAAGGGAACCUUUUGAUAUGCAGCUACUCAAUCCGGUUUGUGCUUGGACUCUCCACCAUCCAACAGGCCUUAGAAACAGCAAAUAACCUUAGCGCAGCUGGUAUCGUGUUUUACAUGGAUCCUUUUGUGAUUGGGUUUCAGCUUAAUCAACUCCAUUGAAGAUGCCUGGCAUCAUUAUUCCAACAUCAGAUGAUUCCAAGAUACUGCUUCAAUACUACAAUUCUUCUGUGGAGAGGGACGGACAGACAAAACAGGUUGUUACAUUUGGAGCCACUGCUAGCAUCUUGGGCGGGCUGAAAGCCAACUACAGCUUUUCUGCUCCAAAAGUCAUGUACUACUCGGCCAGAGGACCUGAUCCAGAAGACAGUUCUCUCACCAACGCAGAUAUAUUGAAGCCAAACUUGGUUGCCCCUGGUAAUUUCAUAUGGGCUGCUUGGAGCUCUGUUGGCACUGAUUCUAUGGAAUUCGAAGGUGAAAACUUUGCGAUGAUGUCUGGGACAAGCAUGGCUGCUCCUCAUAUUGCUGGGCUGGCAGCGCUAAUUAAGCAAAAUUUUCCAAGUUUUAGUCCUUCUGCCAUUGCAUCUGCUCUUUCUACAACGGCUUCUUUAUAUGACAAGAAUGGGGGACUGAUAAUGGCUCAGCGCGCUUAUGCCAACCCAGAUCAAAAUCAGUCCCCAGCAACGCCUUUUGACAUGGGCAGCGGUUUUGUGAAUGCAACCGCUGCUUUGAAUCCGGGACUUAUUCUUGACUCCAGUUAUGAUGAUUACAUGUCAUUUCUCUGUGGCAUUAACGGUUCGGCUCCCAUUGUUUGGAACUACACCGGCCAAAGUUGUUGGGCUUACAACAACACUAUUAGUGGUGCCGACCUGAACUUGCCCUCUAUCACAAUCGUGACGCUCAACAGUUCUAGGACAGUUCAACGUACAGUCACAAACAUUGCUGGAAAUGAAACUUACAGUGUUGGUUGGAGCGCCCCUUACGGGGUCUCCAUGAAGGUAGCUCCGACUCGCUUCACCAUCGCCAACGGCCAGACGCAGGUACUGAGUGUCUCCUUUAACGCGACAGUCAAUAGUUCCUCGGCCACCUUUGGGAGAAUCGGGCUGUUUGGAACUCAAGGCCACGCUGCAAACAUACCAUUGUCAGUCAUCGUAAAGAUCUUUUAUAACUCUACUAACAGCUGAGUGUAGAGAUUUUCUUUUUUUUGUCCUUUCAUCUAUCUUGUCUGUAACCUUUUGUGCUUCCAGGUUUUGAUUUUUUUGCUCCUCCGAUUUGUGGCAAGAUCUGUAAUGUAAGUCGAAUGUUUGUUCAUAGUCGUGUAAAUGCUUAGCAGAUCAUGUAACAGUGUUCAAAUACGCUGCUUCACUUCAAUGCUGAUCUUUCUUGUCCAUUGCCUGCAUUGGCAGGAAAA
Eucalyptus grandis is the source of this 3280-nucleotide RNA transcript. It is a transcript of the gene named subtilisin-like protease SBT2.3, with no coding region annotated. The record is from RefSeq and is a predicted model, not a curated record. The transcript is spliced from 10 exons. Lineage: Eukaryota; Viridiplantae; Streptophyta; Magnoliopsida; Myrtales; Myrtaceae.